CCUACGGGCGGCUGCAGUGGGGAAUAUUGGGCAAUGGGCGCAAGCCUGACCCAGCAACGCCGCGUGAAGGAAGAAGGCUUUCGGGUUGUAAACUUCUUUCCCCAGGGACGAAGAAUGUCACGGUACCGGAGGAAUACGCCACCGCUAACCAUGCGCCAGCAGCCGGGGUUAUACGUAGGUGGCAAGCGUUAUCCGGAUUGAGUGGGUGUAAAGGGUGUGUAGGCGGCAGAGUAAGUCAGGUGUGAAAGCUCAGGGCUCAACCCUGGACCUGCAUUUGAAACUGGGUAUCUUGAGUGCUGGAGAGGCAAUCGGAAUUCCGGGUGUAGCGGUGGAAUGCGUAGAUAUACGGAGGAACACCAGUGGCGAAGGCGAAUUGCUGGACAGUAACUGACGCUGAGGCGCGAAAGCGUGGGGAGCAAACAGGAUUAGAUACCCGUGUAGUC
Molecule: ribosomal RNA, 443 nt
Filed under: uncultured bacterium
Lineage: Bacteria
Description: partial 16S ribosomal RNA
Rfam family: Bacterial small subunit ribosomal RNA
Source: RNAcentral